RNAcentral lists this ribosomal RNA (832 nucleotides) under uncultured bacterium. RNAcentral describes it as "bacterial SSU rRNA". It matches the Rfam family "Bacterial small subunit ribosomal RNA", at positions 51 to 868 of the family's 1533-position model. The record is from RNAcentral.
AGAAUGCAAGUCGAACGCGAUUUUCCCGGUUUAGCAAUAACUGGGAAAAUUGAGUGGCGAAUGGGUGCGCUAACACGUGGGAAUUUACCCGGAAGUGGGGGAUAGCUCGUCGAAAGGCGAAUUAAUACUGCAUGUGCCCGUGAGGGCAAAGUGGGGGACCGCAAGGCCUCACGCUACCGGAGGAGCCCGCGUCCUAUCAGCUAGUUGGCGGGGUAACGGCCCACCAAGGCGAAGACGGGUAGCUGGUCUGAGAGGACGACCAGCCACACUGGAACUGAGACACGGUCCAGACACCUACGGGUGGCAGCAGUCGAGGAUUUUUCUCAAUGGGGGCAACCCUGAAGGAGCGACGCCGCGUGGAGGAUGAAGGGCUUCGGCUUGUAAACUCCUGUCACCGACGAACAAGGCAUCCGGUUGAACAUUCCGGGUGAUUGAUGGUAGUCGGAGAGGAAGGGGCGGCUAACUCUGUGCCAGCAGCCGCGGUGAUACAGAGGCCCCGAGCGUUGUUCGGAUUUACUGGGCGUAAAGGGUGUGUAGGGGGUCGGGUAAGUUUGACGUGAAAGCCCGCUGCUUAACAGCGGAACGGCGUCGAAUACUGCCCGGCUGGAGGUUCGGAGAUGAGAGCGGAAUUCUCGGUGUAGCGGUGAAAUGCGUAGAUAUCGAGAGGAACGCCGACGGCGAAAGCAGCUCUCAAGACGACACCUGACCCUGAGACACGAAGGCCAGGGGAGCAAACGGGAUUAGAUACCCCGGUAGUCCUGGCAGUAAACGGUGCUCAUUAGACGUGGGCGGAUUCGACCCCGCCCGUGUCGAACCUAACGGAUUAAAUGAG